Molecule: ribosomal RNA, 497 nt
Filed under: uncultured bacterium
Lineage: Bacteria
Description: partial 16S ribosomal RNA
Rfam family: Bacterial small subunit ribosomal RNA
Source: RNAcentral
GAUGAACGCUGGCGGCGUGCCUAAUACAUGCAAGUCGAACGCAAAGCGCAAGGUGCUUGCACCUUUCCGGUGGGUGGCGAACGGAGGAGUACCACGGGGACAACCUCCCGCAAGGCUGAGGAUAACAUUUGGAAACAGAUACUACUACCGAAUAAAACUUGGUGUCGCAUGACGGAAAGUUAAAAGGCGCUGCGGCGUCACCUAGAGAUGGAUCCGCGGUGCAUUAGUUAGUUGGUGGGGUAAAGGCCUACCACGACAAGGAUGCAUGGCCGAGUUGAGAGACGGAUCGGCGACAUUGGGAGUGAGACACGGCCCAAACUCCUACGGGAGGGCGCAGUAGGGAAUGUUCCACAAUGGGCGAAAGCCUUAUGGAGCAACGCCGAGUGUGUGAUGAAGGCGUUGGGGUCGUAAAGCCCUGCUGUAGGGGAAGAACAGCUAGAAUAGGAAAUGAUGCGAGUGUGACGGUACCAGACCAGAAAGCGCCGGCUAAAUACGUG